UACGUAGGGUGCAAGCGUUGUCCGGAAUUAUUGGGCGUAAAGAGCUCGUAGGCGGUCUGUCGCGUCUGCUGUGAAAACUCAGGGCUUAACCCUGAGCUUGCUGUGGGUACGGGCAGACUAGAGUGCGGUAGGGGAGACUGGAAUUCCUGGUGUAGCGGUGAAAUGCGCAGAUAUCAGGAGGAACACCGGUGGCGAAGGCGGGUCUCUGGGCCGUAACUGACGCUGAGGAGCGAAAGCAUGGGGAGCGAACAGG
RNAcentral lists this ribosomal RNA (253 nucleotides) under uncultured bacterium. RNAcentral's name for it is "partial 16S ribosomal RNA". It matches the Rfam family "Bacterial small subunit ribosomal RNA", at positions 524 to 776 of the family's 1533-position model. The record is from RNAcentral.